GAUGAACGCUGGCGGCGUGCCUAAUACAUGCAAGUCGAGCGAACAGACGAGGAGCUUGCUCCUCUGACGUUAGCGGCGGACGGGUGAGUAACACGUGGAUAACCUACCUAUAAGACUGGGAUAACUUCGGGAAACCGGAGCUAAUACCGGAUAAUAUAUUGAACCGCAUGGUUCAAUAGUGAAAGACGGUUUUGCUGUCACUUAUAGAUGGAUCCGCGCCGCAUUAGCUAGUUGGUAAGGUAACGGCUUACCAAGGCAACGAUGCGUAGCCGACCUGAGAGGGUGGUCGGCCACCCUGGAACUGAGACACGGUCCAGACUCCUACGGGAGGCAGCAGUAGGGAAUCUUCCGCAAUGGGCGAAGGCCUGACGGAGCAACGCCGCGUAAGUGAUGAAGGUCUUCGGAUCGUAAAACUCUGUUAUUAGGGAAGAACAAAUGUGUAAUUAACUGUGCACGUCUUGACGGUACCUAAUCAGAAAGCCACGGCUAACUACGUG
This 497-nucleotide ribosomal RNA is filed under the name uncultured bacterium. RNAcentral's name for it is "partial 16S ribosomal RNA". It matches the Rfam family "Bacterial small subunit ribosomal RNA", at positions 28 to 507 of the family's 1533-position model. The record is from RNAcentral.